GACGAACGCUGGCGGCGUGCUUAACACAUGCAAGUCGAGCGGUAAGGCCCUUUCGGGGGUACACGAGCGGCGAACGGGUGAGUAACACGUGGGUGACCUGCCCUCAGCUCUGGGAUAAGCCUGGGAAACCGGGUCUAAUACUGGAUAUGACUCCAUGACGCAUGUUGUGGGGUGGAAAGCCUUGUGCGGCUGAGGAUGGGCCCGCGGCCUAUCAGCUUGUUGGU
Molecule: ribosomal RNA, 224 nt
Filed under: uncultured bacterium
Lineage: Bacteria
Description: partial 16S ribosomal RNA
Rfam family: Bacterial small subunit ribosomal RNA
Source: RNAcentral